GGCUUGUUAUUGGGUCUUAUCGUUAGAGAUAGGCCUGAAAGAUAAUGACGGCGUCGUGAAUGACCCCAGGUGCAGCGAGCUAAUAGCAUACACUGAGGUGGUCUUUGCGGCCCGGUCUUUCGUUUCGGUUCUGUCAAAGGAAUUGGAACACUUUUUCAAAGGUUGACCUCGGAUUAGGUAGGAAUACCCGCUGAACUUAA
Molecule: unclassified non-coding RNA, 200 nt
Filed under: soil metagenome
Description: partial contains internal transcribed spacer 2 and large subunit ribosomal RNA
Source: RNAcentral